UUGAUCCUGGCUCAGAAUCAACGCUGGCGGCGUGCCUAACACAUGCAAGUCGCACGAGAAAGGGUAGCAAUACCUGAGUACAGUGGCGCACGGGUGAGUUACACGUGAAUCAUCUACCUUCGAGUGGGGAAUAACUGGGAGAAAUCUCAUCUAAUACCGCAUAAUACCUGCGGGUCAAAGCAGCAAUGCGCUUGAAGAGUAGUUCGCGGCAGAUUAGUUAGUUGGCGGGGUAAUGGCCCACCAAGACGAUGAUCUGUAUCCGGCCUGAGAGGGCGCACGGACACACUGGAACUGAAACAUGGUCCAGACUCCUACGGGAGGCAGCAGUGGGGAAUUUUGCGCAAUGGGGUAAACCCUGACGCAGCAACGCCGCGUGGAGGAUGAAAUCCCUUGGGAUGUUAACUCCUUUCGAUCGGGACGAUUAUGACGGUACCGGAAGAAGAAGCCCCUGCUAACUUCGUGCCAGCAGCCGCGGUAAUAAGU
This 483-nucleotide ribosomal RNA is filed under the name uncultured Acidobacteriota bacterium. RNAcentral describes it as "bacterial SSU rRNA". It matches the Rfam family "Bacterial small subunit ribosomal RNA", at positions 13 to 528 of the family's 1533-position model. The record is from RNAcentral. Lineage: Bacteria; Pseudomonadati; Acidobacteriota.